GUGGGGAAUAUUGGACAAUGGGCGAAAGCCUGAUCCAGCAAUGCCGCGUGAGUGAAGAAGGCCUUCGGGUUGUAAAGCUCUUUUACCCGGGAAGAUAAUGACUGUACCGGGAGAAUAAGCCCCGGCUAACUCCGUGCCAGCAGCCGCGGUAAUACGGAGGGGGCUAGCGUUGUUCGGAAUUACUGGGCGUAAAGCGCACGUAGGCGGUCUUUUAAGUCAGAGGUGAAAGCCCGGGGCUCAACUCCGGAAUUGCCUUUGAAACUGGGAGACUUGAACACGGGAGAGGUGAGUGGAAUUCCGAGUGUAGAGGUGAAAUUCGUAGAUAUUCGGAGGAACACCAGUGGCGAAGGCGGCUCACUGGACCGUUGUUGACGCUGAGGUGCGAAAGCGUGGGGAGCAAACAGGAUUAGAUACCCUAGUAGUCC
RNAcentral lists this ribosomal RNA (425 nucleotides) under uncultured bacterium. Its description in RNAcentral is "partial 16S ribosomal RNA". It matches the Rfam family "Bacterial small subunit ribosomal RNA", at positions 354 to 796 of the family's 1533-position model. The record is from RNAcentral.